GCGAACGCUGGCGGCAGGCCUAAUACAUGCAAGUCGAGCGCACCUUCGGGUGAGCGGCGGACGGGUGAGUAACGCGUGGGAAUAUGCCCUUUGGUACGGAACAACUGAGGGAAACUUCAGCUAAUACCGUAUGUGCCCUUCGGGGGAAAGAUUUAUCGCCAUUGGAGUAGCCCGCGUUGGAUUAGCUAGUUGGUGGGGUAAAGGCCCACCAAGGCGACGAUCCAUAGCUGGUCUGAGAGGAUGAUCAGCCACACUGGGACUGAGACACGGCCCAGACUCCUACGGGAGGCAGCAGUAGGGAAUCUUGCGCAAUGGGCGAAAGCCUGACGCAGCCAUGCCGCGUGAAUGAUGAAGGUCUUAGGAUUGUAAAAUUCUUUCACCGGGGAAGAUAAUGACGGUACCCGGAGAAGAAGCCCCGGCUAACUUCGU
RNAcentral lists this ribosomal RNA (429 nucleotides) under uncultured bacterium. RNAcentral describes it as "bacterial SSU rRNA". It matches the Rfam family "Bacterial small subunit ribosomal RNA", at positions 29 to 506 of the family's 1533-position model. The record is from RNAcentral.